AUUUUCUAACCGGCCUCGAGAAAGUUACUUUACCCCUUCCCUUUGCUCGUUUGUGCAAGGGCAAGAUGUUGACCUAAGUGUUAGAAGGGUUGCACGUUCUGGUUCUUCUGAAUUUGAAUUUCUGGUCAGUAUCGCUGGAUUCAUCCUAUAAUUGACUAAAUUGGUGGCCACUGAGGAAGGUGUUGAUCGGUUUAUUGUUUACAGUUCAUUUUCAUUACUGAUUUUACGAGUGUCUUUCUUUUUUCCUUGGUUCUGUAACUCUCUUUCCUUUGAUAACUUUCUUCUGGUUCGUUCUUAGCUCAAUCCAGUGGGCAAAAUGCACCUUUAACUCAGAAUCUGGGGAACGAUCGAUAGACGUUGCCACCAUCUAAUUAAUCUAUUUUCGGCCGCAAAACACCAAAAAGUGCAGGCAUGGCUGAGAUGACUGGGUUAAUAAUGAAGGGAGCUGUGGCGCUAGGAUCAGCUGCAGUUGCAGGCAAGUUGUACGAAGACGGGAGAAGCUUGAUUGGUCCUUCACUUGGCGAAAUGAAGGAGCUUGCACAAGAUAUAGAAGCAAAUUAUCAAAUGAUGAAAGGCACUGCUGAAUUACUGAAAGGUAAGAGAGAGGAUAUAUUGGGCAAAAUAAAGAGUGAGAAGGAACAUGAGUCUACAGAUGAAUGUAAUGCGUGGAUUAAUAGGGCCAAAGAACUUGAAGCUGGGGUGCAGAUUCUGGAUUCCAAGUAUUCCACUGAAAAAGAUAAAGGGCUUUGGAGUUUCGAUUUAAGCAAAGCCCUGAAAAAGAAACUUGAGGAACUGCGACAAUGGUUGGAAGAGGGGAGGAAAAUAGUAGUAUCGGUGGAGAGAAAACCACCACGCAUUAUUAGAGUUCCGGCACCAAAAAUAGAAGAUAAGUCGUCACUCAAUGCAAUUUUUGAAAAGAUGACAGCCUGUUUUCGAGAUGAUCAAGUAAAAAUAAUUGGACUUUGGGGGAAGGUAGGAGUUGGGAAAACAGCAAUCAUGGAAAAUUUGAACAAUAGUAAACAAGCUGAAGAGUUUGAUAUAGUCAUUUUUGCUACUCUACCUGACGAAAUGAACCAAGAAAAUUCGAAAGACGAAAUGAAUAAAGAAAAAUUGAACUGUGAAAAUGAAGAGUUAAAGCUCAAAGCUCUGGAGUUGGAAAAAGAAAAGUUGAGGGAGCUAAAGCUCAAAGCUCUGGAAUUGGCAAAAGAAAAGUUGAGACAGGAAAUCGCUGGACGGCUCAAGUUGAAAAUAGAAGGUAUGACCAAACAUGACAUAAAUUUUAGAAUAUCAGAAGAGUUGAAAGACAAGAAGUAUUUGUUUCUUCUCGAUGAUGUAUGGGAUAUAUUGGACCUAGGUGAUAUCGGCAUCUGCAGCAACAAGGGCAGCAAGGUGAUAUUAACAUCAAGAAAGCAAAAUAUUUGUUGGGGUAUGGAUAUUGAUGCGAUUGAAGAGCUGAAACCACUGCCAAUAAAAGAAGCGGUUGCACUAUUCAAAGAAAAACUGGGUACAAAAGGCAAGCAUCUAGAAUUUAGAGGAGUUGCUGAGCCAGUUGUUAAGCAAUGUUCAUGUUUGCCACUCUUAAUAGAAAAAGUAGCAGGGUUUUUCAAACAGAAAGACUCCAAGAAUUGGCGGAAAUUGCUUGAGAAGUUUCAAACAUGGGAUUAUUAUGAUGUUGACGGCAUGGUUGAAGUCCUCAAUAAAUUUAGAUUUUGUUUUGAAGAAUUAGAUCGUGAGGAUAAAAAGCUUUGCUUUCUCUAUUGUGCAUUACACACAGAAGGUUACGAAAUUUCCACCAAUCAUUUGGUAGAAUGCUGCAAAGCCGAAAAAUUCAUUCUUGAUGUGGCUAGUGGGCAUCUAAUAGUGGGUGAUCUAAUUGAUGCAUCUUUGCUGGAGAAAGAUGAGAAGAAGAAAUGUCUAAAGAUGAACAAAGUGCUUCGAAAUAUGGCGCUGAAGAUCUCAUCAGAAUGGGAAGAUUUGAAGUUUUUGGUAAAAGCUGGUGGAUUAGAAGAGCUGCUGAGUGAUAAGCAAUGGGAAGAGGCGAAACGGAUCUCUUUGAUGGACAACAGUCAUAGAUUGAGCUCCUUACCGGAAAAACUUAAUUGCAUCAAUCUCUCAACAUUGUUUCUACAAAGAAAUUUGGCAUUAACAGCAAUUCCUGAUAAAUUCUUUGAAUCUAUGCAAAAACUACGAGUUCUAGACCUCCAUGGCACCAGAGUCAAAAAAUUACCAUCUCCAUUUUGCUUGGAAGGUUUGGAAGUGCUUUACCUAAGUUGUUGUGACCAAUUGUUGGAACUCCCCUCUGAAAUGAUACUUCAGAAUCUAGAGGUUCUUGACAUUCGGGGCACCGGCAUUUAUUGUUUGCCAAUCCAAAUUCGCCAAAUGAAAAAGCUGCGGUGCUUACGCAUGUCAUUUUCAAGGUAUGAUGUAGAAUCAGGCAAGGAGGAAGAACAUCAGGGUGUCAUCUCCAAUCUCUCUUUGCUGGAAGAAUUAGUCAUUGAAGUGAAAGCACAGAAUCGGUGGUGGAACAAUGUUGUAAAACAUAUAACAAGAGAGGUGUCUAGGUUGACAAAAUUAACUUCUCUUUCAUUUUGCUUUCAUGAUGUGGAAUCUUUUAAGAGCUUUGUUCAUAAUACUGAGCUAUGGCAAGAUCCCAACUUCACAUUCCAAUUUUGUGUCGGUCAGCAUGACUCAACCAGGCGCUUGAAAUCUGCAAAUGGUGAAAAUAUAGAUAAUGCAAUAACAAUAUCAAGGUUGAUUGUUGUAAGCAAUGAUACAUUAGAACUAAUUGGCCACAAGGGAGCUUUGAGCCUAUCAGACUUUGGCAUUGAGAAUAUUAAUGAGUUGAAGUGCUGCAUAAUUGAAGGGUGCAAUGAGAUUCUAACAGUUAUUGAUGCUCGUGGAACCAUGGAAAGUGUGCUAACUCGCUUGGAGAGGAUUUACAUUAGCAAUGUCCCAAUGUUGGAAAGUAUUUGGGAGGGCCAUGUACCAGAUGGAAGCCUAGCACAGCUUACUGUUCUUUGUUUAUCUGAAUGUUCAAAGCUGACGAAGAUAUUCUCCCCUGCCAUGAUUAAACAGCUUUCUAAACUUCAACACUUGCAAAUUGAAGAUUGUCCUGAAAUUGAGCAGAUAAUUGUGGAAUCUGAGAAUAAUGGGUCGGAACCUUUAGAGCUACCUAGUUUGACAGAAUUGGUGCUUCAGGACCUGCCAAAACUAACAAGCAUUUGGAAGGAGAAUCCAUUGAGUUGCCCUUCUUUAAGGGCAACUAAGAUUAUCAACUGUGAUAAAUUGAAGAGCGUUCUUAUUGCCUAAAAUAAUCAUUAAACCGGCUGCAUCUUCAAUUGUUAUUUCAAGGUUUCAGCUGCAGACUGAUUAGCAGGGCUCAUUUUCUUCCUUUGGGAUGCAUGUAUUUGAUAGGUCUCUACUUGUUUGGCUUCUAUACUUCUCCACGAAACACCAAUGGUGUUUUUUUCCAGACUAUUUGUUGUGUAUUGCUAUGUAAUGUCGAUCUUGAACUGCUUGUCAGUACUGUAUGUGUGAUUGUGUAUAUUGUGAGUGUUAUCCUGAUGUGAGACUGAAUCAUUGUGAUUACUGCUUAUCAAAGAACUAGUUCUUUAAGUAAUUGAUGUUUGCG
Molecule: unclassified non-coding RNA, 3631 nt
Filed under: Hevea brasiliensis (rubber tree)
Lineage: Eukaryota; Viridiplantae; Streptophyta; Magnoliopsida; Malpighiales; Euphorbiaceae
Source: RNAcentral